RNAcentral lists this ribosomal RNA (439 nucleotides) under uncultured bacterium. Its description in RNAcentral is "partial 16S ribosomal RNA". It matches the Rfam family "Bacterial small subunit ribosomal RNA", at positions 339 to 795 of the family's 1533-position model. The record is from RNAcentral.
CUACGGGCGGCUCCAGUGGGGAAUCUUAGACAAUGGGGGAAACCCUGAUCUAGCCAUGCCGCGUGAGCGACGACGGCCCUAGGGUUGUAAAGCUCUUUCAGCAGGGAAGAUAAUGACGGUACCUGCAGAAGAAGUCCCGGCUAACUCCGUGCCAGCAGCCGCGGUAAUACGGAGGGGACUAGCGUUGUUCGGAAUUACUGGGCGUAAAGCGCGCGUAGGCGGAUUGUUAAGGCGGGGGUGAAAUCCCGGGGCUCAACCCCGGAACUGCCCUCGAUACUGGCAGUCUUGAGUUCGAGAGAGGUGAGUGGAAUUCCGAGUGUAGAGGUGAAAUUCGUAGAUAUUCGGAGGAACACCAGUGGCGAAGGCGGCUCACUGGCUCGAUACUGACGCUGAGGUGCGAAAGCGUGGGGAGCAAACAGGAUUAGAUACCCCCGUAGUC